Molecule: ribosomal RNA, 301 nt
Filed under: uncultured bacterium
Lineage: Bacteria
Description: partial 16S ribosomal RNA
Rfam family: Bacterial small subunit ribosomal RNA
Source: RNAcentral
CAGUCGCCGCGGUAAUACGAGGGGGACAAGCGUUGUUCGGAAUUAUUGGGCGUAAAGGGUGCGUAGGCGGUUUGAUAAGUCAUCUGUGAAAUCUCUGGGCUCAACCCAGAGUCUGCAGGCGAAACUGUCGGGCUUGAGUAUGGGAGAGGUGAGUGGAAUUUCCGGUGUAGCGGUGAAAUGCGUAGAUAUCGGAAGGAACACCUGUGGCGAAAGCGGCUCACUGGACCAUAACUGACGCUGAUGCACGAAAGCUAGGGGAGCAAACAGGAUUAGAUACCCGGGUAGUCCCUGUCUCUUAUAC